GACGAACGCUGGCGGCGUGCUUAACACAUGCAAGUCGAACGAUGAAGCCGGAGCUUGCUCUGGUGAAUUAGUGGCGAACGGGUGAGUAACACGUGAGUAACCUGCCCUUGACUCUGGGAUAACUGCGGGAAACUGUAGCUAAUACCGGAUACGACCCUCGGAGGCAUCUCCUGGGGGUGGAAAGAAUUUCGGUCAAGGAUGGACUCGCGGCCUAUCAGCUAGUUGGUGAGGUAAAGGCUCACCAAGGCGACGACGGGUAGCCGGCCUGAGAGGGUGACCGGCCACACGGGGACUGAGACACGGCCGAGACUCCUACGGGAGGCAGCAGUGGGGAAUAUUGCACAAUGGGCGCAAGCCUGAUGCAGCAACGCCGCGUGAGGGAUGACGGCCUUCGGGUUGUAAACCUCUUUUAGCAGGGAAGAAGCGAAAGUGACGGUACCUGCAGAAAAAGCACCGGCUAACUACGUGCCAGCAGCCGCCGUAA
This 484-nucleotide ribosomal RNA is filed under the name uncultured bacterium. Its description in RNAcentral is "partial 16S ribosomal RNA". It matches the Rfam family "Bacterial small subunit ribosomal RNA", at positions 28 to 523 of the family's 1533-position model. The record is from RNAcentral.